UCUAGUUGCCUUGGCGAUCGGACUUCCUGGUCCAGGUGAGGAGUCAUAAUAAAUUGAGCCGGGGAGUUUUGCGGCUGGGAGACGCUAGGCAGAAAGAGUAGGAGUUGCGUCCUGGCACAAGACGAACCAGAGGGUGUCCCUUUGAAGAGGUGUCAGAGAUAGCGUGGGCAUCACGAGCGAGACAGCCUCUCUCCGCACCUGCAGUUCCGGGUAGUGCCGCUCUUGGUGCUGCUCUGUCAGUGGUACUGUGACUCUUCGCUUCUUUGGUGUUUGUUUUAGAGUGUCCUGGGAUUCUGAUGGUGGCCAACUGUUCGGGCAAGUGGAUAACAUCCAGUGAUUCUGCGAUCUGUUGACUAUUGCACACCGGCUGGCCAGCAGAAGUCAUAAAUCCUCUUUGUCUUUGCAGCAUGCCACAGUGCUGCACCACUCCAAAUGUAUGGCACCUAUCUGUAGGAAUGUGAGCUGUUUUGUUUUCCACCAAAUGACCUGCUCUGGUAAAAACUCUGGUUCAGCCCUCUGAGCAGAUGGAACGUCAGGCAAGUGAGACUGUCAAUUUUGUCAACAGUGGGUAGCUUAACUGGAUAUCCCGUGUGGAAAUGCCCUGUUCAUCUCACAAACAAAAACUGUCAGUAAGUAAAACCAA
Long non-coding RNA from Peromyscus eremicus (cactus mouse), 643 nucleotides. RefSeq lists it as uncharacterized. The record is from RefSeq and is a predicted model, not a curated record. The transcript has 2 exons. NCBI's taxonomy places the organism in Eukaryota, Metazoa, Chordata, Mammalia, Rodentia, Cricetidae.